GACGAGUGGCGAACUGGUGAGUAACACGUGGGUAACCUGCCCUUGAAGUAGGGGAUAACACUUGGAAACAGGUGCUAAUACCGGAUAACAACCAAAACCACCUGGUUUUGGUUUAAAAGAUGGCUUCGGCUAUCACUUUAGGAUGGACCCGCGGCGUAUUAGCUUGUUGGUAAGGUAACGGCCUACCAAGGCAAUGAUACGUAGCCGACCUGAGAGGGUAAUCGGCCACAUUGGGACUGAGACACGGCCCAAACUCCUACGGGAGGCAGCAGUAGGGAAUCUUCCACAAUGGACGAAAGUCUGAUGGAGCAACGCCGCGUGAGUGAUGAAGGGUUUCGGCUCGUAAAACUCUGUUGUUGGAGAAGAACAGGUGUGAGAGUAACUGUUCACAUCUUGACGGUAUCCAACCAGAAAGCCACGGCUAACUACGUGCCAGCAGCCGCGGUAAUACGUAGGUGGCAAGCGUUGUCCGGAUUUAUUGGGCGUAAAGCGAGCGCAGGCGGUUUCUUAGGUCUGAUGUGAAAGCCUUCGGCUUAACCGGAGAAGUGCAUCGGAAACCAGGAGACUUGAGUGCAGAAGAGGACAGUGGAACUCCAUGUGUAGCGGUGAAAUGCGUAGAUAUAUGGAAGAACACCAGUGGCGAAGGCGGCUGUCUGGUCUGUAACUGACGCUGAGGCUCGAAAGCAUGGGUAGCGAACAGGAUUAGAUACCCUGGUAGUCCAUGCCGUAAACGAUGAGUGCUAA
Molecule: ribosomal RNA, 744 nt
Filed under: uncultured bacterium
Lineage: Bacteria
Description: bacterial SSU rRNA
Rfam family: Bacterial small subunit ribosomal RNA
Source: RNAcentral